This is a long non-coding RNA of Oncorhynchus keta (chum salmon), 1546 nucleotides long. RefSeq lists it as uncharacterized. The record is from RefSeq and is a predicted model, not a curated record. The transcript has 2 exons. Lineage: Eukaryota; Metazoa; Chordata; Actinopteri; Salmoniformes; Salmonidae.
ACAUCUGCUAAAUAUGUGUAUGGACCAAUACAAUUUUAUUUGAAAAAAUGUAAUUUGAUUUGAUUACUUUUCGUAUGGUUUCAGCUAGGGGGCAGCGUCAUUUAGUUACUUAUGGUGCGUGCAAGACAACUGGGAACUCGGAAAAUACGAGAUCAAAUCGUCCGUGAUCAUAAGGUCGGAAAUUCGGAGGUUUAAAAAAGAGGCACGAAUUCCUGACUUGGAAUUCGGAUUUGGAUGACCGUUCAAACUAACUUUCCCAGUCGGAGCUCGUUUUUGUUCGAGUUCCCAGUCAUCUUGAAUGCAUUGAAGUCGGCGAUUUCCGAGCUCCAGUUGGAGCACUUCUGUUGGGAUGACGUUCGUUGUCUCCUCUUCAAAAAGCGUGUCCACACCAACAACCCGUCCUAGUAUGCCAUACUCCGACACUGAUAAUGUAUUAGUCUAGUAAUUCGUUCUGCGUUUGAGAGGAGAAAGAAUUAUGAAGUCUGGCUCGGAGGCUCCCAUUCAGUCAGAGGAGAGCGAGACGCAGAAGCAUGGAUUUGGGAAAUGGCUUCCAGAAACGCACAGACCAUGCAGCAUACACAGAAAACGAUGGGGGCUACAUUUCAACAGAUCCUGUCACAGUAUCUCCAUAGCAACUCAACAUAGACAUGAAGCUCCAUCCUGAGUCUCCACCCUACCACCACAGACCUCCUGUGACCAGCAAUACUCUUUCAUAAACCUGGGUCGUAAUUCACUAGACACCAAACAGAAGAAAACAGACAAAAACGUGUGCACUAAUAAAUAUGACCCUGGAUACUGUGUAGCAUCAGUAAACUCACUCACGUUCUCCUUCACUUAACAACUAUGAACAACAAAGUACUUCUGACAGUCGUCCAGUAAGAAGGAAGAUUGGAUCUCCAUUCAUUGCCAAACCACCGACCAACUGGACUCAGCAUCUCUCUCUCUCUCUCGCCAUCUCUCUCGGUUGAAUGUUAAGCACAGACAGACUGGUACCCAGUGCCCAGGCUACUCACACCCUCAAAGCACUUUAUUCUUUCAUUUAUGCACCUUUUUGUGGCAUUGUAUUGUCUAUGCUGGCUCUAUUCAUUUCUGUGUCUUGUCAAAUUUCCAGCGAUAAAAGUAUGCUAAUUAGUCAUGUGGAAUUUAUACUGUGGAAUUUAUACUGUGGAAUUUAUACUGUGGAAUUUAUACUGUGGAAUGCACAAGUGGAAACGGGAUCAACUUAAGGCUUUGAUGCCAUCAUGCAAGAAUGUUUUUAAACUGAACUGUUCUAUUGGUCUAGCAUUUAUUUUUAUUUUUAUGAGACUUGUUUUAAAAUGAUUUCACUCUGUGACUUCAGUAAUUCUAAUCUCUCUCUCUCUACAUUAAAAGCUCAAAACCAUUUAGUGACGCUGUUAAAUGGACACUAGAUGAGGUAGAUGUUUCUAUUUUUAAUCAUGUCCAUGUUCUUAUGUAACCUGCAAUUCCGUUUUCUUUAUUGUAAACUGCUUAAGUGCACCAUUGUAGCACAUGCAUUUGUGUAAAUUAAACCUGUCUAUAUAUCUGA